GAUAUACUUCCUCCGUCCGAAAAAGCUUGUCCUUCAAAUGGAUGUAUCUAACAUCAAGUUAGUGUUAAAUACAUUCAUUUGAAAAAUAAGCUUGGGACAAGCUUUUCCGGACGGAGGGAGUAUUAC
This is a non-coding RNA of Triticum aestivum (bread wheat), 126 nucleotides long. The record is from Rfam. NCBI's taxonomy places the organism in Eukaryota, Viridiplantae, Streptophyta, Magnoliopsida, Poales, Poaceae.